AUGUUAACAUCAAAGAUGUUUGCUGGGAUGUCAGCCAAACAAAAAAUUCUUUAUAUUGGAUUUCGAUACCAAAAAAAUUGCUGAUUCUAUUGAUUAAUUCAUUGACCGCUGUCAGUCAACAUUGUCCGCCUGCAACAACAAACAGUGAACCAUCAUGAUUUCUAACGCAAGGGUCAACAAUCCGUAUCCACCAGUACCGCAGAUCAACAGCAAACACAGCAAAGCGGGUAACCUGACACCUCAUGACGACAACAAUAACAAAAUCGUCAAUCAGCAAGAAACCAAUAGCAGCACCAGCAACAGCACCAACCAACAGCAGCAGCGCCAACAGCAGCACCAACCAACUUCAACCUAAGUUUAAGAUUUUUGAUUCAGUUCUGUAAAAGCACUCAAAUUAAUAAAAAUAGAAAUGUAGUAACUGUUAACUGGCGCCCAACAAUCCAUCAACGCACCCGGAGGCUGUGACCAAGGACCAAAAAAACACCCUAGAAGACCACAGAGGCUGUAGCUACAACUACCGGCUCAACACACGUCAACAAGUAAGCGGACGAUUCUCCAAGUAGAUUUAACGAAAGGACAACGAAAUCGCCUCCAUGGACGUAUGGAAAAUCUUUAUAGGGAUACAUUUGUAAGUAGGCAGUGAACACAAAAAAAAAUUUGUGAAUCGUAGAUUUAAUAAUUAAGAAGAAUUUAAGUACAAAA
Molecule: long non-coding RNA, 702 nt
Organism: Stomoxys calcitrans (stable fly)
Lineage: Eukaryota; Metazoa; Arthropoda; Insecta; Diptera; Muscidae
Exons: 2
Source: RefSeq, a predicted model, not a curated record